GACGAACGCUGGCGGCGUGCUUAACACAUGCAAGUCGAACGGAAAGGCCCUUCGGGGUACUCGAGUGGCGAACGGGUGAGUAACACGUGGGUGAUCUGCCCUGCACUUUGGGAUAAGCCUGGGAAACUGGGUCUAAUACCGAAUAGGACCACGCGCUUCAUGGUGUGUGGUGGAAAGCUUUUGCGGUGUGGGAUGGGCCCGCGGCCUAUCAGCUUGUUGGUGGGGUAAUGGCCUACCAAGGCGACGACGGGUAGCCGGCCUGAGAGGGUGACCGGCCACACUGGGACUGAGAUACGGCCCAGACUCCUACGGGAGGCAGCAGUGGGGAAUAUUGCACAAUGGGCGCACGCCUGAUGCAGCGACGCCGCGUGAGUGAUGACGGCCUUCGGGUUGUAAACCUCUUUCAAUAGGGACGAAGCGCAAGUGACGGUACCUAUAGAAGAAGCACCGGCCAACUACGUG
RNAcentral lists this ribosomal RNA (462 nucleotides) under uncultured bacterium. RNAcentral describes it as "partial 16S ribosomal RNA". It matches the Rfam family "Bacterial small subunit ribosomal RNA", at positions 28 to 507 of the family's 1533-position model. The record is from RNAcentral.